CCCUGCUUUGGUGUUCCUCUCCGAUGGACAAGGUCGCUCAGGCCUACUGGGUCUCUAACGACAACGAUGACCGCCAUCGGCCACCACCAGAUCUUCACUCAGACCUAUUGGUCCCGGAUCGUUCCGUCUCCGAUGGUAGACCCGACCACCAGUGGAGCACCAUCGAUGCCCGCAGGGAAGCCGACAAUGGCUGUAGCAUGAUGAAGACCAGAGGAGUAGAAGGGAGCCUAUUUGGAGGCAGCGGGACCGUUGGAGAGGAAGGCAAUCCAAAGGAGCCUGGUUG
RNAcentral lists this long non-coding RNA (283 nucleotides) under Elaeis guineensis (African oil palm). Its description in RNAcentral is "long non-coding RNA (EGUI_LNC011354)". The record is from RNAcentral. Lineage: Eukaryota; Viridiplantae; Streptophyta; Magnoliopsida; Arecales; Arecaceae.